This 467-nucleotide ribosomal RNA is filed under the name uncultured bacterium. RNAcentral describes it as "partial 16S ribosomal RNA". It matches the Rfam family "Bacterial small subunit ribosomal RNA", at positions 28 to 506 of the family's 1533-position model. The record is from RNAcentral.
GACGAACGCUGGCGGCGUGCUUAACACAUGCAAGUCGAACGGAAAGGCCCUGCUUUUGUGGGGUGCUCGAGUGGCGAACGGGUGAGUAACACGUGAGUAACCUGCCCUUGACUUUGGGAUAACUUCAGGAAACUGGGGCUAAUACCGGAUAGGAGCUCCUGCUGCAUGGUGGGGGUUGGAAAGUUUCGGCGGUUGGGGAUGGACUCGCGGCUUAUCAGCUUGUUGGUGGGGUAGUGGCUUACCAAGGCUUUGACGGGUAGCCGGCCUGAGAGGGUGACCGGCCACAGUGGGACUGAGAUACGGCCCAGACUCCUACGGGAGGCAGCAGUGGGGAAUAUUGCACAAUGGGCGGAAGCCGGAUGCAGCAACGCCGCGUGCGGGAUGACGGCCUUCGGGUUGUAAACCGCUUUCGCCUGUGACGAAGCGUGAGUGACGGUAAUGGGUAAAGAAGCACCGGCGAACUACGU